Lepisosteus oculatus (spotted gar) is the source of this 719-nucleotide long non-coding RNA. RefSeq lists it as uncharacterized. Lineage: Eukaryota; Metazoa; Chordata; Actinopteri; Semionotiformes; Lepisosteidae. The record is from RefSeq and is a predicted model, not a curated record.
GGAGGCCACCAUAACCGGAAGUCAGUCUGCCCUGGACCAGGACGCACAGUGACCUCAUCACGGAAGACAGAAGAUAAACAGAGCGCUCUCUCCCACACAGAUAGAAUUCAAAUAACCUUCCAGAAUGCCUCUGAGCUGUGGAAGGAAGACGGAGUACCCAGAGGUAGAGGCCUGCACGGGCAUGAAAUUGAAGCCCGUACCCGAGACCAGACCCGAUCGAGCCCGAAUGAUUUCUAGCAUCCAGCAAGGGAGGUGUGUGCAAGGAAUAAGCCUGGCAGGCUCUCGUCAUUAAUCUCAGAAUAAGCAGAGAAGAUGGGGCCAAUCAGGUGACAUCGGUGACAGACCCACCAAACUUCGUUUGGUAAAAGUACCUCAAUGAGAACAAAUUGCAGUCCUUUGUAAUGCAACUUAGAAAAGAAGCAGCAAAAGUAAAAGGUUAUUUCCCCGACUUUUUGUCCAUAUACCUGGGUAGAAAUACCAAGCUGAAAUUUGACAGGUGACCUAAUUCAUCCAUAAACUUUAGUCAUGGGCAUUCCCUUGCAGAUAUGCUUUAAAGCAGACUUUCUUGAGGGUUAUGUACAACAAUACUUAGUAGAGUAGAAUAGGAUCAUGAUUAUAUUAAUAGAAUUGAGGUAUAUAAGGUGUUUUGGCACCCAUAUCAUUUUAUAACCUAUGUAAUUUGUAAUGAUUUGAAAUAUGUAAUAAAAUGGAAAAUGUAA